Molecule: ribosomal RNA, 440 nt
Filed under: uncultured bacterium
Lineage: Bacteria
Description: partial 16S ribosomal RNA
Rfam family: Bacterial small subunit ribosomal RNA
Source: RNAcentral
CCUACGGGAGGCAGCAGUGGGGAAUAUUACACAAUGGGGGAAACCCUGAUGCAGCGACGCCGCGUGAGUGAAGAAGUAUCUCGGUAUUUAAAGCUCUAUCAGCAGGGGAGAAAAUGACGGUACGUGUUUAAGAAGCCCCGGCUAACUACGUUCCAGCAGCCGCGGUAAUACGUAGGGGGCAAGCGUUAUCCGGAUUUACUGGGUGUAAAGGGAGCGUAGACGGCAGCACAAGUCUGGAGUGAAAUGCCGGGGCUUAACCCCGGAACUGCUUUUGAAACUGUGCAGCUAGAGUGCAGGCGAGGUAAGUGGAAUUCCUAGUGUAGCGGUGAAAUGCGUAGAUAUUAGGAGGAACACCAGUGGCGAAGGCGGCUUACUGGACUGUAACUGACGUUGAGGCUCGAAAGCGUGGGGAGCAAACAGGAUUAGAUACCCGUGUAGUC